Molecule: RNA transcript, 2907 nt
Organism: Helianthus annuus (common sunflower)
Lineage: Eukaryota; Viridiplantae; Streptophyta; Magnoliopsida; Asterales; Asteraceae
Exons: 10
Source: RefSeq, a predicted model, not a curated record
CUAAACCCUAAAUUCAUUUCAUUCACAUCCUCCCCCAUUCUUCUUCUCUCUCUCACCAGACGCGGCGAUUUCACUAGAUCCACCCCAAUCCUUCUUUCUCCGGCGAUUCCGGCAUCAGAACUACUGGGUUCAACUUCUUUUAGGGUUUCUUUCUCCCGUGGAAAAAAGAUCCAGAUGAAGAUGGAGCGGUGGAGAUACCGUCGACUUAGAUCUACCUUACCACCGUCGAGCCAAAUCUGAGGUUACACGACUAAGGAAUAUGAGAACCAUAACUUUGCAGAUCUGAGUUCCUAGAGGAAUAUUGAUAGCCCGGAUCUGGAAUCCAGUGUUGUUUGCCCAGAGUGUGUUACUCAUGGAAGAAGCUGUUACUCGACAGCAUAGCUGACUUUUUUUCGCCCUUCUAUUAAGCUUGAUGUUUCCGAGGAAGGGGCCACAGGUUGUCUUACUUUUGAAUGGAAGACUCUAAAUCUGGUUAGCAUCGAGUCACGAGGGUUGGAUCCUCUCAAAGACAAGUUGGUGAAACAGCUUUGAAUGAUACCCGUUCUCGAUCACAUCAGAUAAUAAGACUGACGAUAGAGAGCACAGUUCGGGAUACUUCAGACUGCGUGAGGUCCAUUGUUUCAAGCCUGGUAUAUUUUGAUAUUUACCUGAAGCUUAUAUGAUACUCAAUGUUGAAUCGUACGUUUGUGAAAUUUGAUCAGCGUUUGUGAAGGAAUUCAUAUCAGCACCACCGCCACUCCCACCACAGACGUUGCAACGUCGUCCGGCGCCCUACAUUCAACCGACACACCUGCAGCCGCCGUCCAACGUUGGGCCUUUGUUAUCUCACAACGCUACCAACACCUGCUGGAGAAGUCAACUCCAUUCUUGCUCUACCGUUGGAUUGUCUUCUGCGUAAACAAAGAGGAUAUGACAAGUGUGGAUAAUGCAAGGGUUGGUCAAGCUGCCGUUGGUCAAGAUACCUUAGGUGUAAACAAAGAGGAUAUGACAAGUGUGGAUAAUGCAAGGGUUGUCGGGCUAUUGGGCAAGAAUGGUUAGAAUUUACUUUCGUUGUGUUUGUAUAUUUCGGCAAUUUAUUCCGGUGGUUAAAAUCAUAACGUAUAACCAUUGGACAGGUGCGUCCUGGUAUCAAAACUUUGGGCUCGGUCCGAGAUUGAUGACUCACGCUUAAAUACUAUAGCAACCACUUCUGGUUCAUCCCCGUCGCUUGAUACUACCAGAUCUUGUGAGCAUGCUGGUUCAAUGGGCUGGAGUUCCACGAGUGUGUCAAAAGUUGGUACUGGCGCUUUAGAAGUAUUGUCAUUCCCUUAAAGCUUUUGGAACCAAAACGCUUCGGAGCGCCUCGCGCUUUAUUAAACCAAGGUUUGGUCUGUUGUUGACACUGGUGUCUUUUUCAGAUUUCAACUAGACAUAGGGUUCCGGUAAGGCGGCAACACUUAAGGAGUUCUGGAAUCUUUUAUAAUAACUGCUGAUUUAUUUUUUGAAGUUGUUUGUGUAGUAAAUUGUUGGUGCAAAAAAAUCGGUAUUAAUGUUUGCUGCUGGGCAGAUGCUUAGUGCUGGUGGGAAGAGAGUGAGACCAGCCUUGGUUUUUUAAGGGUCAAGAACCACAUUAGCGCUUACAGAGUUGCAUGUAUAGAGGUGAAUAUACCAAACGAUGUAAUGGUUGGCUUACUGGUGACAUUGAGGCUACAAUUGUGGCAUGCAAACCCUAUGUUAAGGUAAUAAAAUGUGAAUAGCAAUGUUAAAUGUUUUACAACCAAAUACUUCUCAUUAGCAGCAGCUGCCCACAUUGUAAGCAUUUCUUAGGCUGCAAGUUUCGUUUUACUAAAGUUCCUAGCUUGAAUCAAAAUUUAAUGAAGUGGUUCCGUCUAUCUGAACAUUGGCAAUACGCUUAAUUUCUAUGAAAUAUGCUGCUAAUUACAUGGGUCAAACAUUGGCAUUACGUUUAAUUUAUAUGAAAUAGGUUAAGUAAAUAAAAAUAGCUGAAAAGGAAACACGUCAAAUGGUUUAAAAAUGACUGAUACUUUAUUCAAGUGUUUGAAAUUUCAUAAAUUUCUUUACUCUAAAAAGCUGGAUCAUAAAUUUGACCCGUUAGUGAACUCAUUGUUGCUGCGACUACAAUUCAUAAAAUAUACAAAUGUUAUCGACGAAGAAAUUUAGAAGAUUGUGCUCUGGGGUUGGACUGCUGAAACCUUUUCAGUUUCUUCACUAUUGAGGUUUAUCGGCUGCAGCGGGUAUGCUUCACUUAGUAAGCUUCAUUUAUUGAAUGUGGCUAUUGGAAAAGUUGAUUAAACUGAAAGUAGGUUCAUUAACUAGAUGUGUGAGAGAGAUGCCAAGACAAAAGUUGGUCAGCCUGUACGACUGAUGACUCGAUAAGUUCAUGCAUGGUCAUGACAUGUCUUUACUUUUUUAUAUAUGGAUUCAGUUUUUUGUUCUUAGACUCAUAGAAGACGUUUUUAGAUUCAAUUUUUGUUCUUGAAUUCAAUUCUUGUUCUUAAACUCAAUUUUUGUUCUUGAAUGCAAGUCCGCGCUACGAAAAUGAUUGCAGCCGCGGCUAAUAUAAAGAUAGUUGACCAAGGUGGCAUACCUGCCUUGUAUGCAGGUUUGACUCCAAUAUUACUGCAGGUGCUACCAUCUGCUGCAAUAAGUUACUUUGUUUAUGAACUCAUGAAGAUAGUCCUCAAAGUUGAACCAGAGUAAGUUUUUGUUUCUUUUUUCAAACGUUAUACACCUUGUAAUGAACUUUUUGGCAAGUGAUUUGUUGAUCGAACAAACUUUUGCCCUUGUAAGGUUUAACUUUCUCUCGGUUAUUUUGAGAGCCUGUUUGGAUUUGUCUGAGGUCCUAGAUGAUGUUUGUUUGAUUUUGGAAGUUGUCGAGUGCUCUAUUGAAUAAUUGUUUUGUGAAUA